GUGAGGAAUUUUGCGCAAUGGGGGAAACCCUGACGCAGCAACGCCGCGUGAGUGAUGAAGGCUUUCGGGUCGUAAAGCUCUGUCAAGUGGGAAGAACUCCCGUGAGGUUAAUAUCCUCAUGGUUUGACGGUACCACUGAAGGAAGCACCGGCUAACUCCGUGCCAGCAGCCGCGGUAAUACGGGGGGUGCAAGCGUUAUUCGGAUUUACUGGGCGUAAAGCGCGCGUAGGCGGCCGUUUAAGUCAGAUGUGAAAGCCCGGGGCUCAACCCCGGAAGUGCAUUUGAUACUAUUCGGCUUGAGUAUGGGAGAGGGAAGUGGAAUUCCUGGUGUAGAGGUGAAAUUCGUAGAUAUCAGGAGGAACACCGGUGGCGAAGGCGACUUCCUGGACCAAUACUGACGCUGAGGCGCGAAGGCGUGGGUAGCAAACAGGAUUAGAAACCCUAGUAGUCC
RNAcentral lists this ribosomal RNA (451 nucleotides) under uncultured bacterium. RNAcentral describes it as "bacterial SSU rRNA". It matches the Rfam family "Bacterial small subunit ribosomal RNA", at positions 354 to 796 of the family's 1533-position model. The record is from RNAcentral.